Long non-coding RNA from Triticum dicoccoides, 1786 nucleotides. RefSeq lists it as uncharacterized. The transcript is spliced from 5 exons. The record is from RefSeq and is a predicted model, not a curated record. NCBI's taxonomy places the organism in Eukaryota, Viridiplantae, Streptophyta, Magnoliopsida, Poales, Poaceae.
UAGAAACCCUCGAUCCCCAAAUCAGAAGCCCCAGCCCUCGUCUCCACCCCAUCUCGCCGCUGCCAGACCUAACCCUCGCCUCCGCCGCCAGACCUAACCCUCGCCGCCACCGCUGCCGCCGCAGCAGCGGUCGCCGCCUUUGUCGUCCCACUCCGCUGCUCCAGGCCGGCGCAUCCACCCUUGAGACUGCACAUCCCCUCGUUUCUUGUACCUUCUCUAUCCUCUCGCCGGUCAAGCGAACCACACCUUGUCCUCCUCGCGCCUACGCGCAGCCUCACCACGAGCCCGAGCGCGCCUUCCUCACAUCGUCACCACCGUCGAUCCUCCACACCAAGAAGCCGGCGGCUACUUUCUGUUGAGAGACGCAUCCUGAACAAUGAGAGACCAGGUGAGUGGUGGCUCCAUGGACAUGGAGUACUAUGCAUCGGGUUGACGAACUCUCCAGGGCGCUCACCGGUAUAAUUUUUCUUAGAUCCUACUGUUGCAUCUUUAUUCUUGCUUGUGUAUUUAUCAAGUGCAAUCCCAUGCUUUUUGAUUUUUUUUCAUGACAGAUCUUGGCUUUUGUUCUGACCUUGUGUACAUGAAGGCGCAUGGAUCACCUAAUUUCAACUCUGACGCAGAGCAAUAAAAUGUAAUUGGAAGAAGGCUUAACUUCUACUCCCUCCGUUCCGAAAUAAUUGUCUUUCUAGAGAUUUCAACAAGUGACUACAUACGGAGCAAAAUGAGUGAAUCUACACUCUAAAACAUGUCUACAUACAUCCGUAUGUUGUAGUCUAUUUGAGAUGGCUAGAAAGACAAUUAUUUCGGAACGGAGGGAGUAUUAUCAGGCAAUUAAUUAUGUUGUUUGUAUACUUUAAUCUUAUCAUACUGUUUGUAUACCAUUCUUUGUCCAGUAUGACCAAGAUCAUCUUAUCUGUGUUGAGCCCCUAGCUGCUAUUUUUGUUCAGUAUGAAUGUUACUACAUUUCUGUUUCCUUCUUGAUAAUUUUAUUCUCUAAUUUUUCUGUACAUACUGUUUGUUCUAUCAUUAUCUUAGGAUUUAGGAAGCAUUGAGCAAGUUGCACUACAAGUAUACGGAGCAUCAUCAAUGCAACAGAGGCUGCGACAAUAAUUAAGUUAAGGUUGUCACUCGAUGGCAAAAAGUUGCAUCAUAUCCUUCCAAAUGCAGAAUCAACUUGGAUGAAACUGCUUGCCAUAUUGCCACUACACUGUUUAGUUGAAACUAUUCUAUGUCGGGACACACAUCCUCUUGAGAUUGUAUACUACUAUUUCCUCAAAGUGCAGGUUAAGAAGAGCAUCUUGCGACCUAAGCUCCAGCAAAACAUUGUAGAAAAUGGUCUCAAAUUGUGAAUAUUUAGUUGAUGCACGUGUGCAUUUUUGAGAAGUUGUACCUCUGUUUUUGUUGACUUUUGAUUCAUGUAUGUAAAUUCUAUGCAGUUAUAUCAGAAGAUAUGUGAAUUUGUAACUUAUUAUUCGUAGAAAAAUUCAAGAUUCGGGGUCUAUGAGAGAUUCAAGAGCUUCUAAUCAAGGGCAACCUUGAAGAGAAGCUUGCAACUUAAGCUGGCAACUAAAGAUUAUAGAAAAUGAGGUCUAUUGUGUAUAUUUAGUUGAUGCACUUGUGUGUUUUUAGAUGUUGAACCUCUGUUUUCGUUGACCUUCCAUUCAUUAUGUAAACUCUAUGCAAUUGUAUCCGAAGACAUGUGAAUUUGUAUCUCUGGUUGAAGGAAACAAUUGAUAGUGAUGUUUCUAUUCUGGAAUAGCUAUUUAUAAAACUGUCUAUAUUUUUU